This 426-nucleotide ribosomal RNA is filed under the name uncultured bacterium. RNAcentral describes it as "bacterial SSU rRNA". It matches the Rfam family "Bacterial small subunit ribosomal RNA", at positions 355 to 796 of the family's 1533-position model. The record is from RNAcentral.
UGGGGAAUCUUGCGCAAUGGGCGAAAGCCUGACGCAGCAACGCCGCGUGGGGGACGAAGGCUUUCUGAGUUGUAAACCCCUUUCAGCAGGAACGAUAGUGACGGUACCUGCAGAAGAAGCACCGGCCAACUACGUGCCAGCAGCCGCGGUGAUACGUAGGGUGCAAGCGUUGUCCGGAUUUAUUGGGCGUAAAGAGCUCGUAGGCGGUUUGAUAAGUCGGAUGUGAAACCCCCAGGCUUAACCUGGGGCCGCCAUUCGAUACUGUCAUGGCUAGAGUCCGGUAGGGGACCAUGGAAUUCCUGGUGUAGCGGUGAAAUGCGCAGAUAUCAGGAGGAACACCAGUGGCGAAGGCGGUGGUCUGGGCCGGAACUGACGCUGAGGAGCGAAAGCGUGGGGAGCGAACAGGAUUAGAUACCCCCGUAGUCC